GCACCAUAGUCUAGAUUCAAAUAAUUAUUAAUUUCAGUUUGGUUCUGAAAGUUUCCAUUGGGAGUUAUUUGGGCUUUAAUAGAAUAUUUGAAUAAAUGCUGUUUAUUCUUUAAAAUAAGGAAAAUAUGUUUCUCAUGCCUAUCUGCACUUGUAUAGAUAAAAAUAAAAAAAAUACCAUGUAAAAACAAAUAUGGAUUGUAUUAGUUAUAUUCAUAUGCCCAAGUUUCUAGCAUUGGCCAGAUUGUCAUGUGAUGGAAUCAAAUCUGAUGGUGAUUUACCAUUUGGAAGAUCCAUAUUCAAUUCCAAGUUCUGCAUCUCUAAUUUUUCAGGAGGGAUACAAACUUGACCUGUUGAGCUUUCUACUUUUUUCAAUUGACCCCACCAUGGAUGUUGAGCCUGUAGUGGAUUCUGAAAGUGGCUAUCAUAAAAAUAUCCAAUGUAAUUUAGCAACUUAAUUCAAACUAACCAAAUUUCUAGCAAAAAUAAAUAAUUAUUUUUUAAUGCCUUUUCUCAGUUAUUGGCUGAUUACUAUGUAAUAUCCAUGUUACUCCAUUCCAGGACUAACUAUAAACUGCUUACAUCUAUAAUAGGGAACUUUACAGAAGGUGGAUCAAUGCCUGGGCCAGAUCUAUCAAAUAAUUUUUUUGAGGAUCUGAAUUCUUUCCCAGGCUGGUGCUGGAAUGAAAUUCAGAUAAGUGAAUUAAUUUAUAUGUAAUUUCGUUACAGACAUUUCAGAGAAUAUUUUUAAAUUGAAACAAAAUCAUUAACUUUUACAAUAAUAAAAAAAAAGCAUGAAGAUUAAUGGGCAAAAUGAUUCUUUUUAAGGAGGCAAUUCAUUUGAUCCAAUCUUUUGAUUCAGUUCAAUUUUUGAAUGGGAAAAUACAGGGCCAGAUUAUUCACUAGGCAUUAUAGACAUGUACCUAGGGGGUCCAUAGCAAUAUAGAUCCCAAAAACUGAUUAAAAAUUAUUGAACAAUUUUAUGAUUUUUUUAAAAAAUUAUUGUUUCUACAGGUCU
RNAcentral lists this long non-coding RNA (1015 nucleotides) under Androctonus crassicauda. Lineage: Eukaryota; Metazoa; Arthropoda; Arachnida; Scorpiones; Buthidae. The record is from RNAcentral.